RNAcentral lists this long non-coding RNA (586 nucleotides) under Homo sapiens (human). Its description in RNAcentral is "novel transcript". Lineage: Eukaryota; Metazoa; Chordata; Mammalia; Primates; Hominidae. The record is from RNAcentral.
AGUCCUCAGCAGCUUUAGCAUGGGCAACAAAUUAAGUCUCUGUAAAAGGCCCAAAGGACAGGGUUUGGUGAGAUUCUGGAGAGCUGGAAACAUGGAGGUUGACAGGAAUGUAAAGAAGAACUCAUUUACAUGCCAGGAGGGUGGAACACCCCAAUUCCAUGAGGAUAACUGCUCCUGUACUCCAGACCUCACCCCAUGUGUCUCUUCAUCUGGCUGGUUAUUUGUCCUUUAAGAUCUCCUUACUCAACCAGUAAAUAAUCUAAAAAUGUGGAACUCAGAGACUAGAGUGAUGGUUAUCGGGGGCUUGGAAGAGUGUGAGAUAUGGGAAGAUGUUUGCCAAAAAGUACAAUGUUUCAGGGGUGUCUUUACAUUGUUUUAGUCUUGAACUAGAAGAUGAAAGCAUCAAAUAAAGAAAUAUACUGUGGGUAUAUGGAUUACAAAAAAAGCCCAAAUCUGCUCUUCUGACUCUGCAUCAGUGCAUGUCAAUACCAUCCAAGUUAUGACUCAAGAUGGAAACAAGAAAGUCAUCCUUCACAUUUGCCUGCCCCUUAAUUUUCACUGAGUCUCUUAAAGAUUAUUCCUGAAA